Molecule: ribosomal RNA, 433 nt
Filed under: uncultured bacterium
Lineage: Bacteria
Description: partial 16S ribosomal RNA
Rfam family: Bacterial small subunit ribosomal RNA
Source: RNAcentral
AACGAACGCUGGCGGCAUGCCUAACACAUGCAAGUCGAACGAGACCUCCGGGUCUAGUGGCGCACGGGUGCGUAACGCGUGGGAACCUGCCCUUAGGUUCGGAAUAACUCCCCGACAGGGGUGCUAAUACCGGAUAAUGUCUUCGGACCAAAGAUUUAUCGCCUUUGGAUGGGCCCGCGUUGGAUUAGCUAGUUGGUAGGGUAAAAGCCUACCAAGGCGACGAUCCAUAGCUGGUCUGAGAGGAUGAUCAGCCACACUGGGACUGCGACACGGCCCAGACUCCUACGGGAGGCAGCAGUGGGGAAUAGUGUACAAUGGGCGAAAGCCUGAUCCAGCAAUGCCGCGUGAGUGAUGAAGGCCUUAGGGUUGUAAAGCUCUUUUACCCGGGAUGAUAAUGACAGUACCGGGAAAAUAAGCUCCGGCUAACUCCGUG